RNAcentral lists this ribosomal RNA (253 nucleotides) under uncultured bacterium. RNAcentral's name for it is "partial 16S ribosomal RNA". It matches the Rfam family "Bacterial small subunit ribosomal RNA", at positions 524 to 776 of the family's 1533-position model. The record is from RNAcentral.
UACGUAGGGGGCUAGCGUUGUCCGGAUUUAUUGGGCGUAAAGCGCGUGUAGGCGGUUCGGUAAGUCCGCUGUGAAAGUCGGGGGCUCAACCCUCGGAAGCCGGUGGAUACUGUCGGGCUAGAGUGCGGAAGAGGCGAGUGGAAUUCCUGGUGUAGCGGUGAAAUGCGCAGAUAUCAGGAGGAACACCAAUUGCGAAGGCAGCUCGCUGGGACGUUACUGACGCUGAGACGCGAAAGCGUGGGGAGCAAACAGG